GCCUUCGUGGUGUAACGAGAGCACACUCGGCUCGUAUUCGAGAUGUCCAGGUUCGGGUCCUGGCGAAAGGU
RNAcentral lists this transfer RNA (71 nucleotides) under Stegodyphus mimosarum. It matches the Rfam family "tRNA". Rfam says of the family: Transfer RNA (tRNA) molecules are approximately 80 nucleotides in length. Their secondary structure includes four short double-helical elements and three loops (D, anti-codon, and T loops). Further hydrogen bonds mediate the characteristic L-shaped molecular structure. tRNAs have two regions of fundamental functional importance: the anti-codon, which is responsible for specific mRNA codon recognition, and the 3' end, to which the tRNAs corresponding amino acid is attached (by aminoacyl-tRNA synthetases). tRNAs cope with the degeneracy of the genetic code in two manners: having more than one tRNA (with a specific anti-codon) for a particular amino acid; and 'wobble' base-pairing, i.e. permitting non-standard base-pairing at the 3rd anti-codon position. The record is from Rfam by way of RNAcentral. Lineage: Eukaryota; Metazoa; Arthropoda; Arachnida; Araneae; Eresidae.